This 446-nucleotide ribosomal RNA is filed under the name uncultured bacterium. RNAcentral's name for it is "bacterial SSU rRNA". It matches the Rfam family "Bacterial small subunit ribosomal RNA", at positions 329 to 792 of the family's 1533-position model. The record is from RNAcentral.
GGCCAGACUCCUACGGGAGGCAGCAGUGGGGAAUAUUGCACAAUGGGGGAAACCCUGAUGCAGCGACGCCGCGUGGGUGAAGAAGUAAUUCGUUACGUAAAGCCCUAUCAGCAGGGAAGAAAAUGACGGUACCUGAGUAAGAAGCCCCGCCUAACUACGUGCCAGCAGCCGCGGUAAUACGUAGGGGGCAAGCGUUAUCCGGAUUCACUGGGCGUAAAGGGAGCGCAGGCGGCACGGCAAGUCUGGUGUGAAAACCCGGGGCUCAACCCCGGGACUGCAUUGGAAACUGCCGGGCUGGAGUGUCGGAGGGGUAAGCGGAAUUCCUAGUGUAGCGGUGAAAUGCGUAGAUAUUAGGAGGAACACCAGUGGCGAAGGCGGCUUACUGGACGAUGACUGACGCUGAGGCUCGAAAGCGUGGGGAGCAAACAGGAUUAGAUACCCCGGUA